Pogoniulus pusillus (Red-fronted tinkerbird) is the source of this 486-nucleotide long non-coding RNA. RefSeq lists it as uncharacterized. Lineage: Eukaryota; Metazoa; Chordata; Aves; Piciformes; Lybiidae. The transcript has 2 exons. The record is from RefSeq and is a predicted model, not a curated record.
CAGGAGCUGCAUGCACAGAGCCUCUGCCGAGCUUCCCGGCUCGGCAGGAAAAGCAGGCUGGUGAUGGCUGCUAGGGCCACCCGCUCCACUUCAGCCUCCUUCUUCGUGCCUCACGGGCAGACCUUUGCCCACACAUCCCGUGCUGUGGUCAAGGGUGUGUACCUGCUGCUGGACCGAGAGAUCCUCCUCAGCAGGGCAUCACCAGUGUGUGGGCACCAACCUGCUGCUCCUGGUGGAAGUGCCCAGUUCAGGAGACGCCUCAGAGCCUGGGUCUGCAUUUCAAGAGGGCUAGAAACGGGAGUCGAGCUGCAAGACUCUUGUCUCUGCUAAGCUCAUCCAUCAGAUCCAUGGACACAGCUCACUUUGCUCGCUCUUGAGCUUUGAAAUUACUUGUUCAUAUAUCCUCUUCUCCCUGCCCAUUCUUUCCUUUCCUCUCUCUAGUCUCUUUGGCCAGUUCCUUCCUCCUUUCUCAUUCUCAAAUCUAAA